CCAAGAGCAAGGGGGGAAGUUCUUGGAGGGAAGGAUGCUGGGGGUCUAUUUAGAAACAACCUCUCUACCCAAAAGGUAGGGGUAAGGUCCGUGUACAUACUACCCUCCUCAGACCCCACUAAGUGGGAUUAUGUUGGGUUGUUGUUGUUGUAGGUUCAAGUGUAGGGGAUAUUUCAAGAAGCUUGAAAACAAGAUUAUAAGGGUUACAAUGGUUACCAACAUUCCGAGUCAAGAAGAGAAGACCAAGUACCAUAAUAUAUAAACUACCAUGAGUUCUCAA
Molecule: long non-coding RNA, 280 nt
Filed under: Nicotiana benthamiana
Lineage: Eukaryota; Viridiplantae; Streptophyta; Magnoliopsida; Solanales; Solanaceae
Description: long non-coding RNA (NBEN_LNC040645)
Source: RNAcentral